ACAGCAGCCGCCGCGGUAAUACGGAGGGAGCUAGCGUUGUUCGGAAUUACUGGGCGUAAAGCGCGCGUAGGCGGUUACUCAAGUCAGAGGUGAAAGCCCGGGGCUCAACCCCGGAACUGCCUUUGAAACUAGGUGACUAGAAUCUUGGAGAGGUCAGUGGAAUUCCGAGUGUAGAGGUGAAAUUCGUAGAUAUUCGGAAGAACACCAGUGGCGAAGGCGACUGACUGGACAAGUAUUGACGCUGAGGUGCGAAAGCGUGGGGAGCAAACAGGAUUAGAUACCCGCGUAGUCCCUGUCUCUUAUAC
RNAcentral lists this ribosomal RNA (305 nucleotides) under uncultured bacterium. RNAcentral describes it as "partial 16S ribosomal RNA". It matches the Rfam family "Bacterial small subunit ribosomal RNA", at positions 508 to 807 of the family's 1533-position model. The record is from RNAcentral.